This 254-nucleotide ribosomal RNA is filed under the name uncultured bacterium. Its description in RNAcentral is "partial 16S ribosomal RNA". It matches the Rfam family "Bacterial small subunit ribosomal RNA", at positions 99 to 354 of the family's 1533-position model. The record is from RNAcentral.
CGCACGGGUGCGUAACGCGUAUGCAACCUACCAUCAACAGGGGGAUAACACUGAGAAAUUGGUACUAAUACCCCAUAAUAUCUCAUGCGGCAUCGCAUGGGGUUGAAAACUCCGGUGGUUGAUGAUGGGCAUGCGUUGUAUUAGCUGGUUGGUGAGGUAACGGCUCACCAAGGCGACGAUACAUAGGGGGACUGAGAGGUUAACCCCCCACAUUGGAACUGAGACACGGUCCAAACUCCUACGGGAGGCAGCAG